UACGGAGGGUCCAAGCGUUAUCCGGAAUCAUUGGGUUUAAAGGGUCCGUAGGCGGUUUUGUAAGUCAGUGGUGAAAGCCCAUCGCUCAACGGUGGAACGGCCAUUGAUACUGCAAGACUUGAAUUAUUAGGAAGUAACUAGAAUAUGUAGUGUAGCGGUGAAAUGCUUAGAGAUUACAUGGAAUACCAAUUGCGAAGGCAGGUUACUACUAAUGGAUUGACGCUGAUGGACGAAAGCGUGGGGGGCGAACAGG
RNAcentral lists this ribosomal RNA (253 nucleotides) under uncultured bacterium. RNAcentral's name for it is "partial 16S ribosomal RNA". It matches the Rfam family "Bacterial small subunit ribosomal RNA", at positions 524 to 776 of the family's 1533-position model. The record is from RNAcentral.